CCCUUAGAUGUUCUGGGCUGCACACGGGCUACACUGGAGGGUACAACGAGCUUCAUUAGCUUACCCGGAAGGGUGUGCCAAUCUUUGAAUACCCUCCGUGAUUGGGAUAGACCAUUGCAAUUAUUGGUCUUCAACGAGGAAUUCCUAGUAAACGUGCGUCAACAACGCACAUUGAUUAUGUCCCUGCCCUUUGUACACACCGCCCGUCGCUCCUACCGAUUGGAUGUUUCGAUGAGCCGUUCGGAGGAAUUUGGUGAAGGCGUAAGCUCGGAACCGGAAUCCAAAGUUCUGCAAAUCUGAAUAUCUAGAGGAAGGAGAAGUCGUAACA
RNAcentral lists this ribosomal RNA (328 nucleotides) under uncultured eukaryote. Its description in RNAcentral is "partial 18S ribosomal RNA". It matches the Rfam family "Eukaryotic small subunit ribosomal RNA", at positions 1470 to 1796 of the family's 1831-position model. The record is from RNAcentral.